RNAcentral lists this small RNA (177 nucleotides) under uncultured Prevotella sp. RNAcentral's name for it is "Bacteroidales-1 6S-Bacteroidales RNA suggested". It matches the Rfam family "Bacteroidales-1 6S-Bacteroidales RNA suggested". The record is from RNAcentral. Lineage: Bacteria; Pseudomonadati; Bacteroidota; Bacteroidia; Bacteroidales; Prevotellaceae.
CGUGCCAGUUUGAUCGGGAUACUCAUCAAUAAAAAAACGAAACCGGGAAGACUUCUCUUGUCAAUGGCGGGCCAUAUAAAUCCCAUUUGCGGACUAAGCUGCAUAGCCGGUGGAUUACAAAGACGGAGAUCUCUCAAAUCUUAUAGAUACGGAGUUUCAUCACAUCACUGGGCGUCC